RNAcentral lists this ribosomal RNA (433 nucleotides) under uncultured bacterium. Its description in RNAcentral is "partial 16S ribosomal RNA". It matches the Rfam family "Bacterial small subunit ribosomal RNA", at positions 29 to 507 of the family's 1533-position model. The record is from RNAcentral.
AACGAACGCUGGCGGCAUGCCUAACACAUGCAAGUCGAACGAGACCUUCGGGUCUAGUGGCGCACGGGUGCGUAACGCGUGGGAACCUGCCCUUAGGUUCGGAAUAACUCCCCGAAAGGGGUGCUAAUACCGGAUAAUGUCUUCGGACCAAAGAUUUAUCGCCUUUGGAUGGGCCCGCGUUGGAUUAGCUAGUUGGUAGGGUAAAAGCCUACCAAGGCGACGAUCCAUAGCUGGUCAGAGAGGAUGAUCAGCCACACUGGGACUGAGACACGGCCCAGACUACUACGGGAGGAAGCAGUGGGGAAUAUUGGACAAUGGGCGAAAGCAUGAUCCAGCAAUGCCGGGUGAGUGAUGAAGGCCUUAGGGUUGUAAAGCUCUUUUACCCGGGAUGAUAAUGACAGUACCGGGAGAAUAAGCUCCGGCUAACUCCGUG